This 327-nucleotide ribosomal RNA is filed under the name uncultured eukaryote. Its description in RNAcentral is "partial 18S ribosomal RNA". It matches the Rfam family "Eukaryotic small subunit ribosomal RNA", at positions 1470 to 1796 of the family's 1831-position model. The record is from RNAcentral.
CCCUUAGAUGUUCUGGGCCGCACGCGCGCUACACUGACGAAUGCAACGAGCUUAUAACCUUGGCCGAAAGGUCUGGGUAAUUUCCAAAUUUCGUCGUGAUGGGGAUAGAUUAUUGCAAUUAUUAAUCUUCAACGAGGAAUGCCUAGUAAGCGCAAGUCAUCAGCUUGCGUUGAUUACGUCCCUGCCCUUUGUACACACCGCCCGUCGCUCCUACCGAUUGAAUGGUCCGGUGAAGCGUUCGGACCGUGGCCUUUGGACGGUUCGCCGUCUGUUGGCUGCGGGAAGUUCGUUAAACCUUAUCAUUUAGAGGAAGGAGAANUCGUANCA